This 820-nucleotide ribosomal RNA is filed under the name Acinetobacter sp. Ur-2.10.2. RNAcentral's name for it is "bacterial SSU rRNA". It matches the Rfam family "Bacterial small subunit ribosomal RNA", at positions 38 to 861 of the family's 1533-position model. The record is from RNAcentral. Lineage: Bacteria; Pseudomonadati; Pseudomonadota; Gammaproteobacteria; Moraxellales; Moraxellaceae.
GACGGAAGCUUACCAUGCAGUCGUGACAGGGUACCUAGCUUGCUUCUGGACCUAGCGGCGGACGGGUGAUUAAUGCUUAUGAAUCUGCUUAUUAGUGGGGGACAACAUUCCUUAAGGAAUGCUAAUACCGCAUACGUCCUACGGGAGAAAGCAGGGGACCUUCGGGCCUUGCGCUAAUAGAUGAGCCUAAGUCGGAUUAGCUAGUUGGUGGGGUAAAGGCCUACCAAGGCGACGAUCUGUAGCGGGUCUGAGAGGAUGAUCCGCCACACUGGGACUGAGACACGGCCCAGACUAAUACGGGAGGCAGCAGUGGGGAAUAUUGGACAAUGGGGGGAACCCUGAUCCAGCCAUGCCGCGAGUGUGAAGAAGGCCUUAUGGUUGUAAAGCACUUUAAGCGAGGAGGAGGCUACUAGUAUUAAUACUACUGGAUAGUGGACGUUACUCGCAGAAUAAGCACCGGCUAACUCUGUGCCAGCAGCCGCGGUAAUACAGAGGGUGCGAGCGUUAAUCGGAUUUACUGGGCGUAAAGCGUGCGUAGGCGGCCAUUUAAGUCAAAUGUGAAAUCCCCGAGCUUAACUUGGGAAUUGCAUUCGAUACUGGAUGGCUAGAGUAUGGGAGAGGAUGGUAGAAUUCCAGGUGUAGCGGUGAAAUGCGUAGAGAUCUGGAGGAAUACCGAUGGCGAAGGCAGCCAUCUGGCCUAAUACUGACGCUGAGGUACGAAAGCAUGGGGAGCAAACAGGAUUAGAUACCCCUGGUAGUCCAUGCGUAAACGAUGUCUACUAGCGUGGGGCGUUGAGGCUUAGUGGCGCAGCUACGCGAU